AUUGAACGCUGGCGGCAGGCCUAACACAUGCGAGUCGAGCGGAUGAAGGGAGCUUGCUCCUGGAUUCAGCGGCGGACGGGUGAGUAAUGCCUAGGAAUCUGCCUGGUAGUGGGGGAUAACGUCCGGAAACGGGCGCUAAUACCGCAUACGUCCUGAGGGAGAAAGUGGGGGAUCUUCGGACCUCACGCUAUCAGAUGAGCCUAGGUCGGAUUAGCUAGUUGGUGGGGUAAAGGCCUACCAAGGCGACGAUCCGUAACUGGUCUGAGAGGAUGAUCAGUCACACGGGAACUGAGACACGGUCAAGACGCCUGCGGGAGGCAGCAGUGGGGAAUAUUGGACAAUGGGCGAGAGCCUGAUCCAGCCAUGCCGCGUGUGUGAAGAAGGUCUUCGGAUUGUAAAGCACUUUAAGUUGGGAGGAAGGGCAGUAAGUUAAUACCUUGCUGUUUUGACGUUACCAACAGAAUAAGCACCGGCUAACUUCGUG
This 484-nucleotide ribosomal RNA is filed under the name uncultured bacterium. RNAcentral describes it as "partial 16S ribosomal RNA". It matches the Rfam family "Bacterial small subunit ribosomal RNA", at positions 30 to 507 of the family's 1533-position model. The record is from RNAcentral.